CAGGCCCCAGCUGGUGAUUAUUCUUAUCAAAGGGGGUGGUGAAGGGGCGUGCCACUCACUGGUUUCCCUGGUAACUAAUGAGCCAACUUGACACAACCGGUCAUUUCUCUGACCUGCCCCCUCUCAGUGAAGACUUCUGCCACAUCCUGCCCGCAGUCUGCCAAACACAGUGGGGUGUCGCUCCAGGACCUUGCUUCAGACAUGUCAGCUCCCUCAUCCAUCAAGCCAUUGAUGUUUCUAGGGGGUUGGAAAAAAGAGAUUAGAUGAAGUUUCCCUGGACUGGGAGAGGAGGCGAAGAGUCAGAGGGAAGCCAAAGAGCUACAAAUCUGGAAGGUGCUAAGAGGAGGUCUGAGCUACAGAAUGAGUCUGAUCUCAGAAGAGAUGCCUGUGCUGGAGAGGACAGUCUAUGAGACGUCAAAUUACAGGAAGCAUUUAAAGACUGGGGAAUGGAAAAGACAAACAAGGUAAAGUGUGUAAGGUGGGUGUGCCAAGGGAGUGAGUAAAAUGUAAAAACAGGGCCAGGGACUAAGCCAUGAGAGGUAAAGCUAAGUAGAAAAGAAGCCAAAUAUGAUUUAGGUGCAGUGCUAUUACACAUGAGCAUGAGCCAAGUAGAAAUGGAAACAUCUAGUAUAAUGUGAAUAUAAGGAACUCGGAAACAAAGGACCUCUUUUGGGUUGCACCCUGCAGGCCUGCAAGCCUUGCAGUGGCCCAGCCUCUAGGUGAAGAAAGAGCCUGGGGAUAGCAACAGAGACAUCAGUGGUUAAUUGGAUAGGGGCUCUUACAGGUCUGAAAUAAAAGGGUCCUAGAGUGACACUACACCUCAGCAGGAAGGACAUGGAAGCAAUCUUUGCUACCUGAGAAAGAAGGAGGCUACCAUUGGCCAGGGAAAUUGGCAACAGAUUGGCUCAUCAGUUACCAGGGAAACCAGCAGCCAAGGGACGUCCCUCACAACCCCUCUGGUUAACCACCAUCACAAGGCCAGAUGUUUCCUAUUAAUAAACUAGCAGGUGCAGCCAUUCUGGCCUAAGGAUUAGAAUAGUCACUGACUGGGGCAAAGGGCAGGCAUGUCUGUGUGAGGAGUUGUGUAGGGGAAGCAGGGACUGGUCAGACAGGGGAUUAUAAAGAGCAAGAGAACAGCAUCUUGAGUGGCCUGACCACACAACCUCCCUUCCAUUUCUAUUUUAAUGGAGCCUAAAAAUUUAAUUUUCUGUUUAGUCUUGUUAUAAGCCAUUUUGUGGCUGCUGAUUACUCAUUGGAACCUUUUCAUCCAAAGACCUAAAAGAAAGUCUGGGGUUAUUUGACAUUGAAGUGGUUUGGUGGCUGGAUUUUCAGUGGUGAGGACAGAAGGCGGGGCAUAGUUGACCUUGAACCAGAUGAUGAAAUGUCUUCUAAGGUAUGUUAAGAAGGUUAGACUUAAGAACAAGGCGCCAUUAAAAAGUAUUAAGCAAAGGUGAAGCAUGAUCUUUAGGCAUUUUAGAAAGGUCACUCUUGAACAAUGCAGAGAAUGGUUUGGAAAGGAGCAAAACCAGAAGGUCAGGCACUGGUAAGUGUAUUUGCAGCAAUGACUCAGGAAAGAAGAGGCCAUGGCAGGAGAACUGUGCAGAUUCAAGCAAUGGCCAUAGUGAGAAGGGGAUGGGACUCAGUGAUUGACCAGAUAAAGAGGGAAACAGAAAAGAUGACACCAAGCUUUCUGGUUUGUUGUCAGACUAGUUGGUACCUUUAAAACAUUGCAUUUUUCCUAAAACAUAUUUAUACUCCACACAGCAUUCUUGAUGCUUUCUAUAGCAGUAACCCUUUGCUUUUUUAAUAUGUUCUCAUCCUGUCCCUUGAUGAAUGCAUGCAGUCAUUAAGUAGCUCAAAUGGAAAAUAAAGAUGCAGAUUUACUUCAUUUGGGCUCAGUUUUCUGGGCCCCAGACCUAGACAGAGGAAACAAAUUCUAUUACCUAAACCACAGAAGCUGAAAUCCUCUAGACAAAGAAGAAAACCCCCUAGUGAUUGACUUGGUCUCUGCAUCACCUGGGUUAACUAAGCAUAACAUUAUUAAUAUGCUAGACCUUAUUCACAAAAAAAUUUAGCUCAUUGUUAUGAGAAAGAGCCCAUGUUUCAAACAACAAUAUUUGUAAUAAAUAAGAAUCCCUUGACAAACUCUAUUAAACCUCACUUGAAUCUCUAAUAAUGGAGAAGGUUUCCUAAUGACCUAGCUCAACACUGCUGGUUGCAUGUUGACUUGAUUUGCAGCUAUACACAAAUAUACAUAAAUAAAUGGGUGGCUACCUCCUUGGUGGGAGCUCAGGGACCCAGGGGAAGGCAUUUUUACCUGUAGAUAUCUUCGCCAGCUGUCAUGCUGUUUACAGUUAUCCCAGUCAUCAUUUGUUUCUUCUUCCCAAUUCCUCUCCUCCUAGUCUCUCUUGAACCUAUUCCUAUCCAUCACUCCAUGGUAACUAGUCAUCAAGGUCACUGAUCUCCAUUUGUUAAAUCCCAUGGUCAAGUCUCAGUCCCUGUCUUACAUGUGACCCAUCAGUUCUCAAUCACUAUACUCGAUCAUCCCCCCUCCUUUUUUUUUCUUGCUUUUUAGGGCUGCGCUCAUGAC
Molecule: non-coding RNA, 2590 nt
Organism: Sus scrofa (pig)
Lineage: Eukaryota; Metazoa; Chordata; Mammalia; Artiodactyla; Suidae
Source: RefSeq, a predicted model, not a curated record